CUUUUUUCGAUAAGCAAAUUGAUUAAAAAAACAUAAGGGGUGCUAACCCAUUUACAAAGUAUUACAUAGGUGAAUAUAAGAGUAAAAAAUAAUACACCAAUUGCGAAAAGAAAAAACAUUACAACACAUAUUCUUAGUGAAUCAAAAUGUUAGAGAGAAGGUAGAGAAAAUCUGGGCAAGUGUCAUCAAAGCUCCCCACCCUAUUACACAUGGCCGACAAUACCCCACUUGAUAUUCUCGCAGUGAUGAACUUUGAAUAUAAUAACAAAAUGCCAUUUGUCAACGCUGACAAAGCAAAGCCAAUGAAAAUGGCAAACUCAUCCAACAACAACGUUGUUAUCACUUCGUCCAACAACAACGCGGCUCAAAACAAUGAGCGCUUUAGCCAACAACAGCGUACCAAUAACAACGAGCGCUUGUCUAACCACAGCGUGGCGUUGUCUCUUGCGUGCGCUAGCCAACAGCGUAUUCCCAACAACAGCGCAGAUCUUAUUUCAGAUCUGGCUAAUGAGCGCUCUAGCCAACAACAACGCACCAAUAACAACGAGCGCUUGUCUAACCACAGCGUGGCGCUGUCUCUUGAGCGCGCUAGCCAACAGCGUAUCCCCAACAACAGCGCAUAUCUUAUUUCAGAUCUGGCUAAUGAGCGCUUUAGUCAACAAUAGCGCACCAAUAACAAAGAGCGCUUGUCUAACCACAGCGCGACGCUGUCUCCUGAGCGUGCUAGCCAACAGCGUAUUCCCAACAACAGCGCAGAUCUUACUUCAGAUCUGGCUCUCGUAAACAACAUCGAAAAGAUUAUAACGUUAAGCAAAAGAAGCGCUACAACUUCCGCAACCUCGUAUGCAAAGGUUGUAAGCAACCCAUCCUCAGAAAGCAACAAAAUCCAGGUAGAUCUUUCUUCCCUUCCAACUCCAUUCAUCAAUGGAGAUGAUGUCUCGGUGAGAAUCUUGGAAGAGGAUUAUUUGGAAGGAUUGAAGAGCUGCAUCUCGUGCCUUCAUGGAAGGAUUGUGCUAUCCAAAGGAGACAAGCCGUCUAAAGUCUCAGAUCUGAAAGCAAACUUGGAUAAAGUUUGGAAAAACAUCGGCCCCUGACAAAUGAUUCCCUUGGGCAAAGGCUUUUAUGAGUUUAAUUUCUCAUGUAAAGAGGACAUGGAGAAGAUUUGCACAAAUACAUCUUGGUCUGCAAAUCCACGCGCAAAUAUUCAAAUUAG
This 1213-nucleotide long non-coding RNA is filed under the name Lupinus mutabilis. Its description in RNAcentral is "partial ncRNA". Lineage: Eukaryota; Viridiplantae; Streptophyta; Magnoliopsida; Fabales; Fabaceae. The record is from RNAcentral.